GGCUUGUCUGGUCAACACACCUAUACAACUGGAUUUCUCAUUUAACUUUUCCACUCUACUGAGGGCAAGCUAGUGGGAGACCUGUAAUGACACGUGUGUAAACGCUUGAGGACCUCUCAAAUCACACCAUACUGAAACACACUUAAGCCUGUUUAAUUUUGCCCUAGGCAGCACAUAUCUCUCUAUAACAGAAAUCAAGGAAAGGGCAAUUAUAAAUUUAACAUGUACCAGGUGCCCCAAGUACCUGAUCUCAUUUACCUCACAACAGCCCUUUAGGGUAUGCACAACUACUAUGACUCAACCCAUUUCGGAACCUGAGGUUCUGCGUGGUUAAGGGCGGUGCUGAAAAUCACCAAGCUAAAUAGUUAAUGAGCUAAAAUUCAAACCCAGAUCAGAGGAAAGGGAAACCUUUAAGAAAAAGAGAAAGAACGAGAGCAAUGCCUGCUCCUGGCCUCUCCCAAGGACUACUCCCUGGCUCCUGUGCAGGCCCCACUCAAAAGUCUGCUCUCUCUAAUGCUGCAAGAACAACCCAGGGACAGACACCUUGUAGAAGACAAGAAGACACAAAGAUACAGACAGAGAAUAAAGCCAUGUGACAAUGGAGGCAGAGACUGAAGUGAUGCAGAUACAAGCCAAGGAAUGCCAAAGAUUGCCAGGAGUCAGGAGCUAGGAAGAGGCAAGGAAGGAUCCUUCCCAAGAGGUAGCGUGACCCUGCCAACACUUCAGAUUUUAGACUUCUAGCCUCCAGAACUCUAAGAC
Molecule: long non-coding RNA, 759 nt
Filed under: Homo sapiens (human)
Lineage: Eukaryota; Metazoa; Chordata; Mammalia; Primates; Hominidae
Description: HSALNT0317066
Source: RNAcentral